RNAcentral lists this microRNA (21 nucleotides) under Mus musculus (house mouse). RNAcentral describes it as "mmu-miR-7065-5p". Lineage: Eukaryota; Metazoa; Chordata; Mammalia; Rodentia; Muridae. The record is from miRBase by way of RNAcentral.
AGUGUAGCAGGUAAACCAGGA